AUAUAGAUUUCUCCAUUGUUUUCAUUAAAUUUCUCAUCAAAAUGCUGUUUACACUUUUUAUGCAUGUUACUUUUCAAUAGUUCUGAAAAUCCUUGCUAGAAACGCAGGAUCUGAGACUUCGUUGCUAUAAGCUGAGGAACUUCCCAUCACCAGAAUAUGCCGUCAUCCUGCAGCCACUGGGUAACAAGGGAAUUGCAGUUAUAUGAGGUGAUACAAUAAGGGGGUUUUCCACUGCUGACCAGGGUAGUUAAGGACGACCAGCCUGUAUCAUACCGGACAGCCACA
Molecule: long non-coding RNA, 285 nt
Organism: Spinacia oleracea (spinach)
Lineage: Eukaryota; Viridiplantae; Streptophyta; Magnoliopsida; Caryophyllales; Amaranthaceae
Exons: 3
Source: RefSeq, a predicted model, not a curated record